AUUGAACGCUGGCGGCAGGCCUAACACAUGCAAGUCGAGCGGAUGAAGGGAGCUUGCUCCUGGAUUCAGCGGCGGACGGGUGAGUAAUGCCUAGGAAUCUGCCUGGUAGUGGGGGAUAACGUCCGGAAACGGGCGCUAAUACCGCAUACGUCCUGAGGGAGAAAGUGGGGGAUCUUCGGACCUCACGCUAUCAGAUGAGCCUAGGUCGGAUUAGCUAGUUGGUGGGGUAAAGGCCUACCAAGGCGACGAUCCGUAACUGGUCUGAGAGGAUGAUCAGUCACACUGGAACUGAGACACGGUCCAGACUCCUACGGGAGGCAGCAGUGGGGAAUAUUGGACAAUGGGCGAAAGCCUGAUCCCGCCAUGCCGCGUGUGUGAAGAAGGUCUUCGGAUUGUAAAGCACUUUAAGUUGGGAGGAAGGGCAGUAAGUUAAUACCUUGCUGUUUUGACGUUACCAACAGAAUAAGCACCGGCUAACUUCGUG
RNAcentral lists this ribosomal RNA (484 nucleotides) under uncultured bacterium. RNAcentral's name for it is "partial 16S ribosomal RNA". It matches the Rfam family "Bacterial small subunit ribosomal RNA", at positions 30 to 507 of the family's 1533-position model. The record is from RNAcentral.